UUAAGCGACUAAGCGUACACGGUGGAUGCCCUGGCAGUCAGAGGCGAUGAAGGACGUGCUAAUCUGCGAUAAGCGUCGGUAAGGUGAUAUGAACCGUUAUAACCGGCGAUUUCCGAAUGGGGAAACCCAGUGUGUUUCGACACACUAUCAUUAACUGAAUCCAUAGGUUAAUGAGGCGAACCGGGGGAACUGAAACAUCUAAGUACCCCGAGGAAAAGAAAUCAACCGAGAUUCCCCCAGUAGCGGCGAGCGAACGGGGAGGAGCCCAGAGCCUGAAUCAGUGUGUGUGUUAGUGGAAGCGUCUGGAAAGGCGCGCGAUACAGGGUGACAGCCCCGUACACAAAAAUGCACAUGCUGUGAGCUCGAUGAGUAGGGCGGGACACGUGGUAUCCUGUCUGAAUAUGGGGGGACCAUCCUCCAAGGCUAAAUACUCCUGACUGACCGAUAGUGAACCAGUACCGUGAGGGAAAGGCGAAAAGAACCCCGGCGAGGGGAGUGAAAAAGAACCUGAAACCGUGUACGUACAAGCAGUGGGAGCACAGAGCAAUCUGUGUGACUGCGUACCUUUUGUAUAAUGGGUCAGCGACUUAUAUUCUGUAGCAAGGUUAACCGAAUAGGGGAGCCGAAGGGAAACCGAGUCUUAACUGGGCGUUAAGUUGCAGGGUAUAGACCCGAAACCCGGUGAUCUAGCCAUGGGCAGGUUGAAGGUUGGGUAACACUAACUGGAGGACCGAACCGACUAAUGUUGAAAAAUUAGCGGAUGACUUGUGGCUGGGGGUGAAAGGCCAAUCAAACCGGGAGAUAGCUGGUUCUCCCCGAAAGCUAUUUAGGUAGCGCCUCGUGAAUUCAUCUCCGGGGGUAGAGCACUGUUUCGGCAAGGGGGUCAUCCCGACUUACCAACCCGAUGCAAACUGCGAAUACCGGAGAAUGUUAUCACGGGAGACACACGGCGGGUGCUAACGUCCGUCGUGAAGAGGGAAACAACCCAGACCGCCAGCUAAGGUCCCAAAGUCAUGGUUAAGUGGGAAACGAUGUGGGAAGGCCCAGACAGCCAGGAUGUUGGCUUAGAAGCAGCCAUCAUUUAAAGAAAGCGUAAUAGCUCACUGGUCGAGUCGGCCUGCGCGGAAGAUGUAACGGGGCUAAACCAUGCACCGAAGCUGCGGCAGCGACACUGUGUGUUGUUGGGUAGGGGAGCGUUCUGUAAGCCUGUGAAGGUGUGCUGUGAGGCAUGCUGGAGGUAUCAGAAGUGCGAAUGCUGACAUAAGUAACGAUAAAGCGGGUGAAAAGCCCGCUCGCCGGAAGACCAAGGGUUCCUGUCCAACGUUAAUCGGGGCAGGGUGAGUCGACCCCUAAGGCGAGGCCGAAAGGCGUAGUCGAUGGGAAACAGGUUAAUAUUCCUGUACUUGGUGUUACUGCGAAGGGGGGGACGGAGAAGGCUAUGUUGGCCGGGCGACGGUUGUCCCGGUUUAAGCGUGUAGGCUGGUUUUCCAGGCAAAUCCGGAAAAUCAAGGCUGAGGCGUGAUGACGAGGCACUACGGUGCUGAAGCAACAAAUGCCCUGCUUCCAGGAAAAGCCUCUAAGCAUCAGGUAACAUCAAAUCGUACCCCAAACCGACACAGGUGGUCAGGUAGAGAAUACCAAGGCGCUUGAGAGAACUCGGGUGAAGGAACUAGGCAAAAUGGUGCCGUAACUUCGGGAGAAGGCACGCUGAUAUGUAGGUGAAGUCCCUCGCGGAUGGAGCUGAAAUCAGUCGAAGAUACCAGCUGGCUGCAACUGUUUAUUAAAAACACAGCACUGUGCAAACACGAAAGUGGACGUAUACGGUGUGACGCCUGCCCGGUGCCGGAAGGUUAAUUGAUGGGGUCAGCGCAAGCGAAGCUCUUGAUCGAAGCCCCGGUAAACGGCGGCCGUAACUAUAACGGUCCUAAGGUAGCGAAAUUCCUUGUCGGGUAAGUUCCGACCUGCACGAAUGGCGUAAUGAUGGCCAGGCUGUCUCCACCCGAGACUCAGUGAAAUUGAACUCGCUGUGAAGAUGCAGUGUACCCGCGGCAAGACGGAAAGACCCCGUGAACCUUUACUAUAGCUUGACACUGAACAUUGAGCCUUGAUGUGUAGGAUAGGUGGGAGGCUUUGAAGUGUGGACGCCAGUCUGCAUGGAGCCGACCUUGAAAUACCACCCUUUAAUGUUUGAUGUUCUAACGUGGACCCGUGAUCCGGGUUGCGGACAGUGUCUGGUGGGUAGUUUGACUGGGGCGGUCUCCUCCUAAAGAGUAACGGAGGAGCACGAAGGUUGGCUAAUCCUGGUCGGACAUCAGGAGGUUAGUGCAAUGGCAUAAGCCAGCUUGACUGCGAGCGUGACGGCGCGAGCAGGUGCGAAAGCAGGUCAUAGUGAUCCGGUGGUUCUGAAUGGAAGGGCCAUCGCUCAACGGAUAAAAGGUACUCCGGGGAUAACAGGCUGAUACCGCCCAAGAGUUCAUAUCGACGGCGGUGUUUGGCACCUCGAUGUCGGCUCAUCACAUCCUGGGGCUGAAGUAGGUCCCAAGGGUAUGGCUGUUCGCCAUUUAAAGUGGUACGCGAGCUGGGUUUAGAACGUCGUGAGACAGUUCGGUCCCUAUCUGCCGUGGGCGCUGGAGAACUGAGGGGGGCUGCUCCUAGUACGAGAGGACCGGAGUGGACGCAUCACUGGUGUUCGGGUUGUCAUGCCAAUGGCACUGCCCGGUAGCUAAAUGCGGAAGAGAUAAGUGCUGAAAGCAUCUAAGCACGAAACUUGCCCCGAGAUGAGUUCUCCCUGACCCUUUAAGGGUCCUGAAGGAACGUUGAAGACGACGACGUUGAUAGGCCGGGUGUGUAAGCGCAGCGAUGCGUUGAGCUAACCGGUACUAAUGAACCGUGAGGCUUAACCU
Molecule: ribosomal RNA, 2903 nt
Filed under: Escherichia coli
Lineage: Bacteria; Pseudomonadati; Pseudomonadota; Gammaproteobacteria; Enterobacterales; Enterobacteriaceae
Description: 23S ribosomal RNA
Rfam family: Bacterial large subunit ribosomal RNA
Source: RNAcentral